CUGAGGGAAAAAUCCCGUUGCGAAAUCAAGCACGUAUGUUGUCAUUUUCGCAACGACCCGUUGUUAUAUUUUUCAACAACGGCUGUUGGUGAAUUGUGCACGAACGUGCUCAAAUUGACACCGAGACGUGGUCAACUUUCGGUACCAACAACAGCCGUGCUUAAUUUGUCCAUUUGUAAUAUUGGUAAUUGCAGCCGAUUACACACGAGUAAAAAAUGACAACGGUGGUGCAUGAUUCACACACGGUCGUUGUCAAUAUGACACCGGUCGUGUAUGAAUUAUGCACCACCACCUGCAUAAUGAUGCACCACCGUUGUUACUUUGUACACCGACGUGCAUGAAUCGUACACGAUCGUUGCCAUUUUAGCAACUACCGUGUAUGAAUCAUGCACCACCGUUGUCAUUUUUUUUACUCGUGUGCAAUCGGCUGCAUAUUUACCAUUUUUUCCGUGUUAUUGAAAGAGAAAGGACGCAUUGUGCAAAAAAUUUAUUGAAAAUGAAUAAUAAUUCGCAAGAUCCUCAAAAUAUCAUUGGUGAGUUGUUAGAAAUCGAUGGCAAUAUUGUUGUGGUUCGCGAUACAAACCAUUGCAGUAGUCAAGAUGCGGAAAACAAUGAGGACGAUUAUAUGUUAAGGGAGUUCUUAAAAGGAAUAAAUAUGGAGUCGCUUUUUGAACAAUUAAAAGGUAAGUAAAUAAAAAUGAAUUUUUCAGUUAAUCAGUGUAAUUAACAAAGAAUUUUCUUUUUUGUUCUUUUAGCAUCACAUGUAACAUUUCGCAGCUUGCAGUACUUGAAAAAAGAAGAUUUAAAGGAAGCAGUGCCACCAUUGGGACUGCGUGUUGAAUUCAGAGAAAAGCUCUUUGCUUGGAAAAAACGAAAGCUCGGGAUUGAUGACGAAACUAUGUCAGUUCCAUCUAAAAUAGGUGAAUGGUGGAAACGCAACGAGACACCUGCAAGUACUCCUGGUACUCCCGACACUACAGGUUCGAACUGCUCAAAAGCCAAAGGAAUUUUGUCAGAGGAUCUAACGGAAUUGUUAACACAUACCUCGAAGGGGAAACUAGCGCUUGAAUGUAGUAGCGUUAAUAAGAAAUUAAGUGACGAGCAAAGAGAUGAUAUAAUUAAUAUAAUUAUUGAAGAUAUUUUAACCAACAAUGUUACUCUUUACACUCAAGACUAUAUGCGCAUAUUGGAUGAAAUUUGUUCCGUUUUUCCUCUUGAAAACGAAAUGAGGGUAAGAUUAACAAUAUAAACAACGUAUCUGAUUAUGUAGUUUCUUAACUUAUAAUAUGUCUUUAUUUUUAGGAUUAUUAUUACAUUUCAAGAAAAGGAAAGAACAACGCAAGCGGAAAACUUUAUGCCAAGUAUAGAAACAAGAAGUCCAAAAGAAUAAAGCUUUUGAUUUCCGAGCCUAGCACAAGCAAAGCAGCAACUCACACAUCUCCUAAUUUUUGUAACAAAGAUGUUCCCGAAAUUGAUGAAUCAGUUGAAAAUUCAUUGAAAGCUUCCUUACUAAGAGAAUGUAAUGAUUGGGGAUCGAUCUGCGAAAAAUGGAAAAGAUCUUUUAACAUACGGCAAAGAGAUAUAAAAAAUUUAAGUAGCCAUACAUUUCUCCUUGAAUGGACGAAGUUGUCCGAUGCAAGAGCUUCAGAAUUGGUAAGUAGCCAUGAGCUAUUUAUUUGUAUAUGGAUACUAAUGUUUCGUUUUAGGUCAACAUUGAUUUCGAUAUUAUGUAUCCACAGAAAGGCAAUCUUCUACUUUCUAAAUGGGACCAAUUUAAGAAAAAAAUUUACAAUUAUUAUGGGAAAAAUAUUCAUAACGAACAUUGCAAACAACUCUUCGCAAAUGUUUUGACGGCAAGCAGCAUAGAUGCUCAAGAUUAUAUAUACGCAAUACUGUUGAAUUCAGUUUUACCAUCACCUGCUAGGUUUAAAUGUGGAAACGGUAAAUUACGAAAAAAAGUAACAAUAGCUGAUUCGCAGGAAAGUUUCGUACUGCGACUACCGACAAUUAACGAUUAUAAAAGGCAAAUUGAUACAGUCACUGAAAAGUAUUACAAUGCUGGAUUAACUAUACAGCCAUUUAUAAUUGUGGAGGGUUUGUCCGAUUUCAAUAUAAAAGGUUUUUAUGUUUUUUUUAACCACAAUUUGUUAAAAUUUCAAUCGUUCCUCGAAUGUUUAGAUACAUGUUUUAAAAUUUUUCAUGCACUUUCUUUAAAAUAUCCAAAUGCCUGCCAAAUUCCAUGGAUUUUUAUCCAAAAAUAUUUUUAUGAAAUUAAUACUGUAUAUGAUAUAAAAUCAGUUAAUUUGACUUCACUUAUUAAUUUCUGCAACAAUAAUUAAAGUACAAUUCAAAAUGUAUAUUUGCUUU
Musca domestica (house fly) is the source of this 2367-nucleotide long non-coding RNA. RefSeq lists it as uncharacterized. The record is from RefSeq and is a predicted model, not a curated record. The transcript has 4 exons. Lineage: Eukaryota; Metazoa; Arthropoda; Insecta; Diptera; Muscidae.